RNA transcript from Mus musculus (house mouse), 3368 nucleotides. It is a transcript of the gene named family with sequence similarity 118, member A, with no coding region annotated. The transcript is spliced from 10 exons. The record is from RefSeq and is marked validated. NCBI's taxonomy places the organism in Eukaryota, Metazoa, Chordata, Mammalia, Rodentia, Muridae.
GGGCAGCUAUUCAGUUCAUCACCACAGGGGUCCUGAGAGUAGGAGUCUUGUGCGUCCCCUGCUGGUUGCUUUGAUCUCUAGAGGUCCUUAGCUGCCUAAAAUCCCAGACAGAGGCCCCUCCCCCUGUUGAGGUGGGAACCCUUGUAAUAUUGGUGCAAGUCUGGCAGCAGAGACUUCAAAUCCCCCAACUCAGGCUGAGGCAGAGUGGAUCAGGAACCAGCUAUAGCUUGCCUGCACAGGCCAGAGCUCCCUCCUGUUCUGAUUCACAGAUGGAGUCAGUGGAAAAGACCACGAACAGAAGUGAGCAGAAAUGCAGAAAGUUUUUAAAGAGCCUCAUUAGAAAGCAACCCCAGGACCUGCUCUUGGUCAUUGGGACUGGCGUGAGCGCAGCUGUGGCCCCAGGCAUCCGAGCGCUCUGCUCUUGGAGGAGCUGCAUUGAGGCGGUCAUCGAGGCUGCGGAGCAGCUGGAGGUUCUGCACCCUGGCGACGUUGCUGAGUUCCGGAGGAAGGUGAUGAAGGAUCGGGACCUGCUGGUUGUGGCCCAUGAUCUGAUCCGGAAGAUGUCACCUCGCACAGGCGACACCAAGCCCAACUUCUUCCAGGAUUGCCUGAUGGAGGUGUUUGACAGCUUGGAGCAGCACAUUCAGAACCCGGUGGUGCUGCGGUCCAUCCUCAGCCUGAUGGACAGGGGCACCAUGGUGCUGACCACCAACUACGACAACCUGCUGGAGAUCUUCGGGCAGCAGCAGAGCAAGCCCAUGGAGUCCUUGGACUUGAAGGAUAAGACGAAGGUUCUUCAGUGGGCAAGAGGCCAUAUUAAGUAUGGAGUUCUUCAUAUUCAUGGUUUGUACACGGACCCCUGUGGGAUGGUGCUGGAUCCAUCGGGCUAUAAAGAUGUCACUCAAGAUCCGGAAGUCAUGGAAGUCCUGCAAAAUCUCUACCGAACCAAGUCAUUCCUGUUCGUGGGCUGUGGCGAGACACUUCGGGACCAGAUAUUCCAGGCGCUCUUCUUGUACUCCGUGCCAAAUAAGGUGGACUUGGAGCACUACAUGGUAGUGCUCAAGGAAAACGAAGACCAUUUCUUUAAGCAUCAGGCAGAUAUGCUUUUGCAUGGAAUUAAAGUGGUGUCCUACGGGGACUGUUUUGACCUUUUCCCGGGAUAUGUGCAAGACCUUGCCACUCAGAUCUGCAAGCAGCGAAGUCCAGAUGCUGAGCGAGUGGACAGCACCACCUUACUGGGUAAUGCAUGUCAGGACUGUGCAAAGAGGAAGUUGGAAGAGAAUGGAAUUGAAGUCACAAAAAAAGUUAGACAGUCAGAUACUGGUAGGUAUUGUUUGUUUUCAUGGGAACUCUGUGGUCUGUAGGUGUCUGUACUCAGUGCUUUGCUUUAACACCUUGGUGUAUGGGAAGGAUCAGUGCAUACUUCAUGUUGGAAUCACAGAAGCCUUUUCAGUGGAACCCGACCUUUCACACGACUAAUCAGAGGUACUGUUAUUGUCCCCAAAAUUUCUCUUAAAAUGUAAUUGAAAGAAAACAAGCAGGUGAUGUGACAUCAAUUCAGUGAGUUUUCAUGAGGAAGACACCCAUUUGGUCAUACCAAGUUGGCAAACAGAACAUUUUGGGAGCAUCCCUCUACCAGUUAGAGAAACCACUCUCCUACUGGGAUGUAUAUGCACUUACCUGUGAACUUUCAACUGCUCAUUUCAGCUCCCAUUGAAGCUGGGAGAGGCAUCUGGAUGACUACUUGUUCCUCCUCCCUCCUCUUCCCCUCCCCUCUGGUGUGGUAGGAUGCAUUUCUAGUUCCUUAGUACUAGGACGUAGGAUUUGAAUCUGAUUGGGCUCUGAAGGGGCUUUUCCCUUCUCUCUUCUCCUUUCUAUUCCCCCAGCACCAGCUUUUAACAUUCCCAAUGUAAAGCGUCUAGAUACAGGGUAAAAAGGAAGCAAGGCCGCUACUCUGGAUUCUAAAAGAUGGGGUCCCUGGCUGGCCUGGAACUCAACAUAUAUAGAUUAGACUGACCUCAAACUCAAGAGAUCUGUCUGCCUCAGCCUCCUGAGUACCGGGACUAAAGAUGAUGCUGGAGGGUCUUGAAGUUUUUAAAACUUGAAACUUGAAAACCAGCCUUCAGCAACCACAGUGCCAUGCCCAAGUGAUGAGGAAUGUACAGAGGACUCCAUAUGGAUCUCUCAAUAGUGAACUGUCACACACCCCCAAAAGAGCCAUGUGGGUGUGUGGCCUUUGUGGUUGAAUGACAGAGCUCUACUAUGCGUUUAGCUGCUCAGGAGGUGACAUGGACACACUUCAGGUAUACUCAUAAGGACUUAUGGACAGCUACCUCAGGGACCAAAUUGAGGGGUGGGAUGUACCUGGCAUUGUUCCCUUUUUCCAUUUGACAUGUUUUCUUAUGUCAGGGUGUUAUUUUUCCUAAUACAUGGAGGAGAAUGAGUACUAUUCGAGCAACAGUAGUUGCCAAAGAGAAAAUAAGACAUAAACAUUUAUAUUUUAUAUCUUUAUGUGGAAAUACAUGGAAGCAUCUUUUGGCUGUAGAAAGUUUUUUUUUUUUUUAAAGAUGUGUUGGUUACAGUGUUAAACAGUAAAGCACAAGUGGAUAGUAGAGGGGCUGAACCCACUGGUGAAAAUUGUUUUUAAAGGGAUGACUAGAUCAAUUUGGUUUCUUUGGAAUUUUGACAUUUUAGUAAUUUCUGUUCCAAAGAAUUGGUAAACUAACUGUUAGUGAGUGUUAAGUCCAGACAGACUGAAGACCUUUCCCAAAGUCUUCAGUGCUGUCUAGAUCCACUGUGUGACUUCCAAGUUAAAAAGGGAGAGUGAAGCACAAGAUCAAGCUUUAAACUUUUAGAAGUUCUAAGCUUUCCAAGUCUUAUUUCUCUAGGAUAAGGCCCAUCCUUUCUGAUCUCCUCUCUUCCCACGGUUCAUAUUAAGAUUUACUUGGAGUGGAGUAGGCAAUACUUUGAAAGGGCUUGCCAAAUUUUAACUACAUUCAAGGUUAACUUCUGGGAAAACACCCAUGCUUAGACUACUGCAUAUGUCCACAGCUCCUCUGAUAGUGACUGUGGCAAAGGCUCACAUGUUAUACAGAGUGGUCCUGAAAGGAAGACUUCUUAGAAACAGGUCCUGCAUGGUUCAUUUGAGGCUAUCCAUCUUUGAUAUGAUGCCAAGCUCUGCCUGUGACAUUGCAUGGACGGCACAGUAGCUCCCAAGGGAUAUUGACAAUUAAGAACAGGAAACAUAGGUUGCUACAGGGAAUGAGGGAGAAGCCAGAGACAGGCUAAAGACACCUCCUCACUCCCAUGCUUUCUAAGUGUGGAAAAUCUUUUAUGUCACUGGUUAUAAAUAAAAUUUUUAAAGUCAA